ACCCUUCCAAAAGCACUCAUCUGGCCUCAACCCCGUGACCCGAUGAGCCGUCGUGAAAGGGCAGAGCAAGAAACAUCGCUUUUGGGUGAAGGAGCAGCAACUUGUGCUGCUUUACUUCAAUCGGCGAUGAGACAGGC
Molecule: small nucleolar RNA, 137 nt
Organism: Ornithorhynchus anatinus (platypus)
Lineage: Eukaryota; Metazoa; Chordata; Mammalia; Monotremata; Ornithorhynchidae
Source: RefSeq, a predicted model, not a curated record